UACAGAGGGGGCAAGCGUUGUUCGGAAUUACUGGGCGUAAAGGGCGCGUAGGCGGCCUGUUAAGUCGAACGUGAAAUCCCCGGGCUCAACCCGGGAACUGCGUCCGAUACUGGCAGGCUUGAAUCCGGGAGAGGGAUGCGGAAUUCCAGGUGUAGCGGUGAAAUGCGUAGAUAUCUGGAGGAACACCGGUGGCGAAGGCGGCAUCCUGGACCGGCAUUGACGCUGAGGCGCGAAAGCCAGGGGAGCAAACGGA
RNAcentral lists this ribosomal RNA (253 nucleotides) under uncultured bacterium. RNAcentral's name for it is "partial 16S ribosomal RNA". It matches the Rfam family "Bacterial small subunit ribosomal RNA", at positions 524 to 776 of the family's 1533-position model. The record is from RNAcentral.